GCAGCAGGCGCGAAAACUUUACAAUGCAGGAAACUGUGAUAAGGGAACCCCGAGUGCCCGUAUACGCGGGCUGUCCAGGUGUUUAAAAAGCAUCUGAAGAAAGGGCCGGGCAAGACCGGUGCCAGCCGCCGCGGUAAUACCGGCGGCUCGAGUGGUGGCCACUAUUAUUGGGCUUAAAGCGUCCGUAGCUGGACUCUUAAGUCUCUUGGGAAAUCCGCCGGCUUAACCGACGGGCGUCUAAGAGAUACUGGGAGUCUAGGGACCGGGAGAGGUGAGAGGUACUCCGGGGGUAGGAGUGAAAUCCUGUAAUCCCCGGGGGACCACCGAUGGCGAAGGCAUCUCACCAGAACGGCUCCGACAGUGAGGGACGAAAGCUGGGGGAGCGAACCGGAUUAGAUACCCGGGUAGUCCCAGCCGUAAACUAUGCGCGUUAGGUGUMCUGGUGACCACGAGUCACUGGGGUGCCGAAGGGAAACCGUGAAACGUGCCGCCUGGGAAGUACGGUCNCAAGGCUGAAACUUAAAGAAUGCGGGGA
Molecule: ribosomal RNA, 535 nt
Filed under: methanogenic archaeon enrichment culture clone 4.17b Arc Band 1
Lineage: Archaea
Description: bacterial SSU rRNA
Rfam family: Archaeal small subunit ribosomal RNA
Source: RNAcentral